This is a long non-coding RNA of Daphnia pulicaria, 276 nucleotides long. RefSeq lists it as uncharacterized. Lineage: Eukaryota; Metazoa; Arthropoda; Branchiopoda; Diplostraca; Daphniidae. The transcript has 3 exons. The record is from RefSeq and is a predicted model, not a curated record.
CCGUCAUACUCCAUGCUGUUUAUCGGAUUUGAGCCCAGAGCCAGCCAUCAUAACCACAAACAAUGUGCAAUUUUUCUUGUGCAGGUGUUGGUAACCUGUCACCAGCAACAAUCUCAGGAUCAUCGUUUGUGGGAUAAAAGGCAUCCCAUUGCAUUGGAAUGCAAUCACAUGCAUUGUCCAUUGAGUUAUGGAUCUCUCUGUUUCCCCUUUCUUUAAAUGUCCUUGUGUAUGCCCAUGUGAAUGUGGGUGUAUUCACGAGGACACCCUUUUUACCCU